Molecule: small nuclear RNA, 162 nt
Organism: Sorex araneus (European shrew)
Lineage: Eukaryota; Metazoa; Chordata; Mammalia; Eulipotyphla; Soricidae
Gene: U1
Rfam family: U1 spliceosomal RNA
About the family: U1 is a small nuclear RNA (snRNA) component of the spliceosome (involved in pre-mRNA splicing). Its 5' end forms complementary base pairs with the 5' splice junction, thus defining the 5' donor site of an intron.
Source: Ensembl
AUACUUACCUUGCAGGGGAGGUAAACUGAUAAUAAAGGUAUUUUUCCCAGAGCAAGUCUACUCCAUUUCACUCUGGAUGUACCGACCCCAGCAAAUUCCACAAAUGUGGGAAACUUAACUGUGUAAUUUAUGGUACUGGGGGACUUCAUACAUAUUCUCCAC